Molecule: non-coding RNA, 27 nt
Filed under: Mus musculus (house mouse)
Lineage: Eukaryota; Metazoa; Chordata; Mammalia; Rodentia; Muridae
Source: RNAcentral
UGGAUCGCCUACGGACAGACCUUGCUC